This 564-nucleotide ribosomal RNA is filed under the name uncultured Glomeromycotina. RNAcentral describes it as "SSU rRNA". It matches the Rfam family "Eukaryotic small subunit ribosomal RNA", at positions 548 to 1114 of the family's 1831-position model. The record is from RNAcentral. Lineage: Eukaryota; Fungi; Glomeromycota.
UUGGAGGGCAAGUCUGGUGCCAGCAGCCGCGGUAAUUCCAGCUCCAAUAGCGUAUAUUAAAGUUGCUGCAGUUAAAAAGCUCGUAGUUGAAUUUCGGGACCAUCAUGUCGGUCGUGCCUCGGUACGUACUGGUAUUGUUGGUUUCUCCCUUCUGACGAACCAUGAUGUCAUUUAUUUGGUGUUGUGGGGAAUCAGGACUGUUACUUUGAAAAAAUUAGAGUGUUUAAAGCAGGCUCACGCUUGAAUACAUUAGCAUGGAAUAAUGAAAUAGGACGUUUGAUUCUAUUUUGUUGGUUUCUAGGAUCGACGUAAUGAUUAAUAGGGAUAGUUGGGGGCAUUAGUAUUCAAUUGUCAGAGGUGAAAUUCUUGGAUUUAUUGAAGACUAACUACUGCGAAAGCAUUUGCCAAGGAUGUUUUCAUUAAUCAAGAACGAAAGUUAGGGGAUCGAAGACGAUCAGAUACCGUCGUAGUCUUAACCAUAAACUAUGCCGACUAGGGAUCGGAUGAUGUUAAUUUUUUAAUGACUCAUUCGGCGCCUUACGGGAAACCAAAGUGUUUGGGUUC